This is a non-coding RNA of Parelaphostrongylus tenuis, 78 nucleotides long. The record is from the annotation of a GenBank genome assembly. NCBI's taxonomy places the organism in Eukaryota, Metazoa, Nematoda, Chromadorea, Rhabditida, Metastrongylidae.
GAGUCAGUAGUGUAACGGAUAAAGCACGCAUUCUGGAAGAAUGAGGUUGAGAUGCGGGUUCUAGUCCCGCCUGACGCG